CGAGGCAAGGAAAAAGUGUUAUGUUUGUGAAAAUCAGGGCCAAUGCUAUGGAAAAUAAAAGAAUUUUUAAGAUUAUUUACAAAAAAAAAAAAAAAAAAAGAGAAAUACAGUAGCUGCAGUGUAUUUGUAUCAGAGAUCAAACACAAAUAAAGGAGCGAAUGAGAUUACCUGGCAUUUGCAACUGCUUACAAAAAACUUCAGGGAGUAUGCUGUAAGUGACUAGUGCCAUUCAAUUAAUAUCUGUGCUGGCAAUUCCUUCUACUGAAUGCUGAAAUUUAUUUCCAGCACUGAACUCCAGGAGAAGAAUUCUCUGCUCUUUUCUUGAACUCAAAAGCUUCAGAUGUAAUGAAAGAAAAAUGAAGCAUCUCUUUUCCUCAGGCUCUGAGAAUGGCAGCAUUAGAACAUGCUGGACUUUUAGUGCAAGAAAGACAUGGAGCUCCCGGAAUGGGUAUAGGAGAUGGAAACAAAGAUGACUAAUCAACUGGAGCAUCUCUCUUACAACAAAAGACUGAGUUGGCCCUGUUCAGCCUUGAGAAGAGACAACUACGAAGGGACAUCGUCGAUAUAUGUAAGUAUCAGAAGGGAGGGUGUCAAGAGCAUGAACCCAGGGUCUUCUCAGUGGUGAAGAGCAAUAGGACAAGUGGCAAUGGGCAGAAACUGCUGCACAGGAAGUUCCACCAGAAUAAGGGUGUAACAAUUCUCUGUGAGUGACCAUGUACUGGAACAGAUUCCCCAGAAAGGCUUUGACUCUCCCUCAUUGUAGACAUUCAAGAAGUCUGGACAAAAUUCUGUGCUGUGUGCUCUAGGAUGAUCCUGCUUGAACAGGGAGGUUGGGCCAGAUGACUCAAAAAUAAUUUUUAAAAAAAGGAAGUAAUCUUUCCACAUUUUGAUUCCUGGUUUCCUGGUCAAACCUAGCCUGUUUCAAAUUUAUUUGUUUUUAUCUUUUGACAUCCUUAAGUAUUUCUCAUAUUUUAAGUUUCUUUAUUUCAGAAUUAUUGCUAUAUAUAUUUCGAUUCUAUGAGAAUUUAUGGAUAAUUUUUAUGUCCUGGAAAUCAGAUUUUCAAAGAAAUUUGACUGUAGAAGCAUAAUUGCCUUUGUUAAUGCCUACAAUUUACACUGCUCCAACAGACUACAUGUCAACAUGAAAGUCGAAUUUAGUUUAGUAAGAAUGAAAAACAACACCUCAGAAACUGAUGUGUCUUACUUCUGAUAUACUUAGUUCUAUUUGGGUGAGAAGCUUACUGGCCCAGAUCAAAAAAGAAAUUUGUAAUCUAGGAAACAGCUGAUAGUAUUAUGAAACGGAAGGUAAAAGAGAUGGGACGGGUUUGUGGGCCAAAGUAUACUCUUUAUAUUCUUCCAUUAUAUUUAAUUGAUUCUGCUGAUGUGGACAUUAAUUUGUUUGUUUUCCUUAGUCACUGAAUACACUACAUUGCAUUAAACACAUCAAAAUCAAUGUCAGUUUUUUGAGAAAGAAUUUUUUUUCUAAGCACAUUUAAAUGGAAACUAUUGGAAUUCAUGCUGUCUAAUUCAACUGUUUUGUGUUUUGUUCUCCCUGUUCCUGAGCAAUUAAUAUAUUAUAUAAAUUACAUCUUCUUUUUGACUAUUCUUCAAUAUUUAUUAUAAUAUUUUCUGAUCUUCCCAUAUUAAAUCUGUUGCAUGAUCUUUUAUUUAUUUAUUUCUGCAUAUCUUCUUAGGAAGUAAAAGCUUUUCCUAUCUCAUUUUGUAAAGUACGUUUUUUAGAGCCCUGUAAGUCUGCUAAAGGUUGGGUCAUUUUAACUUCUGGGAAUAAAAAUCUUGACAGUAAUUCAGGUACAGUCUUGCAGAAUUAAAUUAAAUUACAAAUCAUUUUUCUGAACAAAUUUUUUUAUUUUUAUGCUGGAAAAUUUCAACAGGCUACCCAAAGCCUUUCAAGCUAACCAAAGCCUUUUUAAUUUUUUUUUUUUCCAUCUGAGAGGGUUCUCUUAAAAGUAGCAUCAGCUGUUGGAGCUAACAGAGUAUUAAACCUACAAUUUUCACUUUUAUGGUGUUUGUACCACUUAGUUUAUAUCCUUAUUAUUAGAAAAUAUGUGAAGAACAGGUUAAAAAGUGGGAUCUGUUCUGGAAAAAUAAUGGGGGUCCAAACUCAAGUGAUGAGAACCAUAAAGGUUGAUUUCAAAUUCCCAUUAGAAAUUUCCACUUGACUUGAGAGAAGGUUCACCCUGACACAGAAGCACAGUCUACACUGUGUGCUGAGAGACCUAAACAACAUAAUUGUGAAUGUAUUUUAUGGAAAGAGAAUUAUAAAUGUUAAGCAUGCCUAAUUCAUAGAACAGUCAAGGACAAUUGCCUACGCACAAUUAUGUAACAUAGUUCUGUGUCAGGUACUUAAGAAUGGUAAAUAAAAACAAUCAAAAAGUAUUUUUAACAUGUAGCUGAUAUUUUUAAUAAUUAUUCAGUUUAAUUUAUUGUGGUUGUCUCUAUGAUGUAAAAUAGAAUUGUGAUGAGAUGUUUGGUUAAGCUUGGGGAGGAAAUUUAUCUUCAUUUGAUCUUCCAUAUAGAUGGAAUACAUUACUCUGAAAAAAAAGGCAUCUCACAGCUUGAAUAUUUUGUAGCCUGACUUUCUAUUUUAGUUCUCUAUUGCUAAGACAGUACUAUUCAGUUGGCAAAAAAUACAUUGUGUUCAAUAGUAAAACCUGAGGAAAGGAAACAAUAAUUUUCUAAUAUUAGGGAAAACAAAGCAGUCUUUAGAAAAGUUAUUCAAUAUUCCAUAAACUCAAGAAUAUUUUCUCAUCUUUAUGCAAAUUGUAUAGUAUCUCUAUGAUCUCUUUUGUUGCUAAAGUAAUAGGUCAAUUAUGGCAAAGCAACUGUGAUUGCAAGACCAUAGUAAAAGUUUUGGCAGCUUGGCUGUAGGCAUUUUUAUGUAAAGUUACUAUUCCUCAUCUAAAGUCUUAAUUUAAUAAGAUGGAAAAUAAUAAUAAAGUGGAAGAUCUGUGGCUCAUCAAAAGCUAUUUUAUGUGCUACUGAAAAAGGGCAUUUCACCCAGCUGAACAAAGAAAUUUCUUCAAAGUGUGAGCAGAAAUUGACUUCAAGGGCACCUUUUUUUUUUUUCUUUUCUUUUUCCUUUUCUUCUUUUUUUCCUUUUUGUUUUCAUUUUCAGUUUGCCAAAGGCUGCUGUCAUCACUAAUAUAAUUAUUUCUAAAUCAUUUGAUCUGUAAAGUUUCACCAGACUGGACAUUUCUAUUUCUAUGCUCUUAUUUCAUAUUUUGGAACAUUUGGCACAGCUGAUCAGAGUGAUUGAUUGAAAUAUGGUAGAGGAAGGUAGCUGAAAAUAAUGCCAGAGUGCUAGUAUUUUCUUGAGAUUACCUAUAUCCAGUCUCUAGAAUACACUUAAUAGACACAUGAUCAAUAUUUCAUUAGCAAUGACUAAUAACUCAUGAUGAUGUAAUACAUGAUUAGAGGAAGACAUUUCCUGAUAUCUGAUAGCUGGAAAUAAAUAUAGCAGCUCCCUACAGAUAAUUAUUUCUCUUCUAUACUGUUAAGAAUACAUUCCAGAAAAGAAAGAACAACACAAAUAAACAUAUUUUAAUAUUUAGAUAAAGUAAUAGUUUAAUUAAGCUACUUCAGUUUUAUUAUGUUUUGCUGGAAAAACACCUUUUUACCCAUUAUCUUGAAAAGAAUGAUAUGAGAGAGAAUUAAGCAGGGCUUGAUUUACAAAGUUAUAUUAAGUUUAUAGUAAGAAAUGUGUAGUAAUAAAAUUUCUAUGACUAGUUUUAACUGGAUUUUUUCCUUCAAUAGAAGAAUCUUUCAUGCAAGUCAAGGAAGAGGUAUCACAUUGGCUGCAUGGGUGUUCGCCAUGUGGAACUCCGAUUCUUACUAGACAGAGCCCCAAAUGAGAAAAAUCUCCAAGGUUUCUAUUGGCAUGUUUAUAUACCUGCAGUGAUUUCCCUUUUUGGCUUGUGUUGACAGCUUUAAAGGAUUGUUUUCUCCAGAGUGUCUCCUUUUUUUUUAUUAUUAAGUUUUUUUUACAAGUUUCUAACUCUAGCAUUAAGAAUGUCCGUCUUAAGUCUUAUGAUUUAGCUAUCUGAAAAUAAUUUGCUUAUUAUUAAGUAGGUGAUAUGAUAAAUCUACACAUAUUUCUCUGUCAUUUACAGCUUUGAUUACUCUCAUUUUUGGUACAUUAAUCUUCUCCCUAUCUCAUUCCACAGCUAUUACCUAAUAAAGUGAAAAAUUUGAAAGGAUUUUUUUUUUCAGAACAAUGAAUGGAAAAAAUCAGAAGCAUGGUUAAAUUAAUGUAAGCUUACUUUUCAAAUAUUGUGAGUAUGAUUACAGUAAUCCAACUUUAUAUGAUCGUAAAAUAGAUGUCUUGAAAUGAGGGCCAUAGUAAGCUGACUUCCUUUAUAGGAAAAAAAUAAAAAAAGAAAGAGGAACUUUUGGGUUAUGGUUCAUUUAGCUUGGUUUAGAUAUCUACUUUAGAAUAAGAAGAAUUGUGCCCUUGACUCCAGUAAGUAUAUUGACAUCUUUAUGGACUGUAUGGUUAGACCGAUUAGGAUCUCAAACAGGUUUAGAUAUCAAAAGCUUCAGAGUGAAAUUUAUAUUCUCAUUUUUAACUUGAAGGUAAGAUAAAAAAAGGAAAUAGUAAAGUAUAUUUCCAUCUGACAUAUCCUAUAAAAGUAUUUCUCCAAAUAAAAGAACUAUAUUCUCUUUAUAUCGACAUAUUUUUACAUAUGUAUAUCUAUCUAUGUAUGUGCAUAUAUAUAUACACAUAUAUCCCCAAUAGCAGGCAUUCAAAAUUUGCAACAAGAAAUUUAAAGUUGUGUGUCUUUCUUUGUUCUUUUUCCAAUUAUAUGACCUGAUUUCAGUGCAAGAGAACUGCGAUAACGUGAUGAGUCAGAAGCAGCAGAGAGCUGGCUAAUAGAUUCACUGAAUAUGUGUUCAAACUUACUGAUCUGUUUCACUGAUGCUGUAUGGUGCUUCUUCCCAGCAUCAAUUAAUAACUUGGCAGCCUUACCCUCAGAUGCAAGGGAACUCUGAACUCCUGUACGACAUCAUAAAGGUGGUAUGAUAUUUAGUGAUAACUCAGUUAUUAACGUGCUCAUCAUCACAGUGAUAUGUAAUUUUUUCUAAUUUUCAUAGCUUUUCUUCAGUGGAAAAGAGUUUAAGUGUAAUAUCAGGAUAGAGGCAUGGGGAAGAAGAACCAGUUUAAGAUAAGAGAAUGAAGACAUAUAUGUGCUUAACUCAGAAACCUCAUGUUUAAGAGCUCAGGUCAAGGGUUAGAAAGAAUUUCCUGCUUUUGUCGUAACAGAAUGCUUGUAAUAACAGUUCUAAUAGUUAUUAUAGUAAGUCCUAUAUUAAAAGAAACUAUAUUUGGAUUUUAAUUUUGCUUUAAAAAUUUUCUUCAUUCCAUAAAAGCUCUUUUUUAUUAGUUUAAGAAGAAGAUAUUCACACAUUAAAAAAAAAAGGCUGUAUAAUGGACUGUAUCACCUCGCAGACAUAGACAUGCAGGAUUUUUUAUAGAAACGCCCAUUUUUUCACAUGUAAAGAAAUCAUCUUUUGAACAAAGACAAGGUGAAACCUCUAGGCUGAAUUCCAGCUGUUUGAGGAAUUUAUAGAGAUCAUCAUAGACACUUCCUCACUCAGUGCUUGCUUCCAUUUGCAACAGCUUGAUUUUCAGUCCAAGUCUGAAGGAUUAAAGAGGAAGAGAGAAAAGAAGGAAACUGUACAAAAUGAGUAUCUUAUCAAUAGUCUGCUAGAAUAUGGCUGGAUGCCCUGAUAGUCAUUGUGGCUGCAAGGAUGUGUGCAGGAUAUGAACAGCUCACAAGGGACUGAGAAGGGAUUUAAUAUAAAACUUGUGUUGCACUCAUUCAAGAAGAUUCUCAGGUUCUGUAAGUGGAGAUCCAUUACAUCUAUUCUAUUCAGCUAUCUGAAAUUACAUGAAUGUAAUGUCCCUUAAAAAAACAAGUUUUGAGGUUAAAAAAAUCUCAAUCCCCCCUCCGGAAAUUCAGUAUUAACACAGUUUCUAAGGAAAAAAAGAAGCUAAAAUAAAUUUCCCACUUCUACUGAAUUUUGGCUCAAAAUCUCCAACAGCGUGUGCAGAAGCCUGUCAUACUUCUUACAAUAUGCUGACCAAAACUUAUACAGAGAGUAUGCAAAAGUACUACCUUAUACCCAGAGCAAGAUUCAUGCUAUAGAGUUAUAUCAGUUAUGAUGAUUUUCUUUAAUAAAAAUUCAGGUCAGUUAAUGUGUGCUGAGAAUACAAAAAAAAAAAAAAA
Molecule: long non-coding RNA, 6248 nt
Organism: Taeniopygia guttata (zebra finch)
Lineage: Eukaryota; Metazoa; Chordata; Aves; Passeriformes; Estrildidae
Source: Ensembl